This is a long non-coding RNA of Oncorhynchus tshawytscha (Chinook salmon), 694 nucleotides long. Lineage: Eukaryota; Metazoa; Chordata; Actinopteri; Salmoniformes; Salmonidae. The record is from Ensembl.
CUGUAGGUCUACUGAAUGGUUCUGUAGGUCUACUGAAUGGUUCUGGGCUGUAGGUCUACUGAAUGGCUCUGUAGGUCUACUGAAUGGUUCUGUAGGUCUACUGACUGGCGCUGUAGAUCUACUGAACGGUGCUGGGCUGUAGGUCUAUUGAGUGGUGCUGGGGUGUAGGUCUACUUAACGGUGCUGGGCUGUAGGUCUCCUGAAUGGCGCUGGGCUGUAGGUCUCCUGAAUGGCGCUGGGCUGUAGGUCUACUGAAUGGUGCUGGGCUGUAGGUCUCCUGAAUGGUGCUGGGCUGUAGGUCUACUGAAUGGUGCUGGGCUGUAGGUCUACUGAAUGGUGCUGGGCUGUAGGUCUCCUGAAUGGUGCUGGGCUGUAGGUCUCCUGAAUGGUGCUGGGCUGUAGGUCUCCUUAAUGGUGCUGCGCUGUAGGUCUACUGAAUGGUGCUGGGCUGUAGGUCUACUGAAUGGUUCUGUAGGUCUACUGAAUGGUCCUGUAGGUCUACUGACUGGUGCUGUAGGUCUACUGAACGGUGCUGGGCUGUAGGUCUACUGAAUGGUGCUGGGCUGUUGGUCUCCUGAAUGGUGCUGGGCUGUAGGUCUACUGAAUGGUGCUGGGCUGUAGGUCUCCUGAAUGGCGCUGGGCUGUAGGUCUACUGAAUGGUGCUGGGCUGUAGGUCUACUGAAUGGUGCUGGGC